This 253-nucleotide ribosomal RNA is filed under the name uncultured bacterium. Its description in RNAcentral is "partial 16S ribosomal RNA". It matches the Rfam family "Bacterial small subunit ribosomal RNA", at positions 524 to 776 of the family's 1533-position model. The record is from RNAcentral.
UACAGAGGGUGCGAGCGUUGUCCGGAAUCAUUGGGCGUAAAGAGCGUGUAGGCGGUCCGGUCAGUCGGCUGUGAAAGUCCAGGGCUCAACCCUGGGAUGCCGGUCGAUACUGCCGGACUAGAGUUCGGAAGAGGCGAGUGGAAUUCCCGGUGUAGCGGUGAAAUGCGCAGAUAUCGGGAGGAACACCUAUGGCGAAGGCAGCUCGCUGGGACGUUACUGACGCUGAGACGCGAAAGCGUGGGGAGCAAACAGG